AAUGAACACCUCAAACAUCAUGGCCUUUAACCCAGAGACAUGGUUUAUUGGAAAGGACACCUCCAUCAAGAUUCCUUCCAGGAGGGUAUGGAGGAUCAUACCAGGGGAACCCACAUCAAAGUUUGUCCAAACAGACCCCAGUUGGAGAAGAAUCGUGAACACACCAGUCUAUGAGCCCGACUUGAACAGCAGGCUGGUCUCUGGCUACCCUUACCUCGGAGACGUGCACACGGACAGUAUGUACCCCAAAAGCCGGCUUUGGAUAGACCUUGCCCUCCGAGCUUGUGAAAUUUAGGCCUCCACUGCCAGCAUCACCCCUGGUGGAGAGCGAGCCCACCUUUUGAAAAUCGCUCUGAGCCCAUAGGUGUGAAAGGGUGACAGGCGGUCAUCAUGCAGACUUGCUGCCUGUGGGCUACAGGCCUUCUGGGGGAAUCAGGACUCCCCUGGGUCUCCAUACCACAGGCCACUUCCUAGUAAGGCAGUUGAAAAACCUCCAGCUCUGCUUCUGGGGGCAUAUUCCAUAAUGUAGGUAGGCCUUGUCCAUUAGGCCAAUACCCCGUACCCCCACUAGCUCUUCUCUGUGAUGCUCAUCAACUGCGGUGGCCCUGUUGCAAGUCUCCUUUUGGCCUCAACUGCCAGACCUGCUCACGCAGACUCUGUACUCUGCCACCGGGCCUUGGGUGGCAGGGGCAACCCAAUGACCUCAAUAUCCUCCGGGUAGAAGGAGCCCACCCCUGGGAAGUCUUUCUGAGGCCAUAACUUUAACCUGGCAACAGGG
Mustela erminea (ermine) is the source of this 778-nucleotide long non-coding RNA. RefSeq lists it as uncharacterized. The record is from RefSeq and is a predicted model, not a curated record. NCBI's taxonomy places the organism in Eukaryota, Metazoa, Chordata, Mammalia, Carnivora, Mustelidae. The transcript is spliced from 3 exons.